CCAAUAGCGUAUAUUAAAGUUGUUGCAGUUAAAAAGCUCGUAGUUGAAUUUCGGAAUCUGUCCAUUGGUCGGGCUUCACUGUCCGUACUGGUGUGGUGGGUUCUUACCUUCUGAAUAACCAGCAUGCCAUUCACUUGGUGCGUUGGGGAAGCAGGACUAUUACCUUGAAAAAAUUAGAGUGCUCAAAGCAGGCUAGUGCCUGAAUACAUUAGCAUGGAAUAAUAAAAUAGGACGGCAUGGUUCUAUUUUGUUGGUUUCUAGGAUCACCGUAAUGAUUAAUAGGGAUAGUUGGGGGCAUUAGUAUUCAAUUGUCAGAGGUGAAAUUCUUGGAUUUAUUGAAGACUAACUUCUGCGAAAGCAUUUGCCAAGGAUGUUUUCAUUAAUCAAGAACGAAAGUUAGGGGAUCGAAGACGAUCAGAUACCGUCGUAGUCUUAACCAUAAACUAUGCCGACUAGGGAUCGGACGAUGUUAAUUUUUUAAUGACUCGUUCGGCGCCUUACG
RNAcentral lists this ribosomal RNA (502 nucleotides) under uncultured Glomeromycotina. RNAcentral describes it as "partial small subunit ribosomal RNA". It matches the Rfam family "Eukaryotic small subunit ribosomal RNA", at positions 591 to 1092 of the family's 1831-position model. The record is from RNAcentral. Lineage: Eukaryota; Fungi; Glomeromycota.